Molecule: long non-coding RNA, 469 nt
Filed under: Olea europaea subsp. europaea
Lineage: Eukaryota; Viridiplantae; Streptophyta; Magnoliopsida; Lamiales; Oleaceae
Source: RNAcentral
CAUUUUGGAAACAACGGGGAAAACUCGUUCUUCCCAAACUGAACCGAGUUCAAAAACGAUUCAACCGGGUCAUUCCCUGACACCACCAUCACUCAAAACCGUAGACAGUCAUACAGAAUCCCAGAUUUUCAAAUAAAAGUUUCCCAAUCCACUAAUUCCUGUCAUGAAAACACGCCACAUAAUACUAAUAAAAGCAACAACUAUAGACCCAAAAUUCGAACUACGCCGUGUCAACACAUUGGCAUUUGGCUGGUUAAAUCCUUUGAUGAAAUCUGUAAAAUGAUCAACACUGGGCGUAUUUAUAUGUGCAUAUAAAAAUAUGUAUCCAUACGUAGAGGGAUUUGUAUUGAAACGGAUGAUAUUAGCUAUAUGGGAGUGAGAUUUGUAAACAUACAAUUGUAUAAAUCCAUGUUAGCUGGACGAAAUAGAUAAUGGGAUGCAAUUUCUAGGAAUUUUUUAUUUUUUAUUU